Molecule: transfer RNA, 67 nt
Filed under: Songmachilis xinxiangensis
Lineage: Eukaryota; Metazoa; Arthropoda; Insecta; Archaeognatha; Machilidae
Description: tRNA-Ser
Source: RNAcentral
GAAAACUGGUGAUCUAAUAGAAGCUGCUAACUUCUUAUUAUAGCGGUUUAAUUCCGUUAAGUAUUCU